RNAcentral lists this long non-coding RNA (533 nucleotides) under Castor canadensis (American beaver). RNAcentral's name for it is "lncRNA (ENSCCNG00000018345.1)". Lineage: Eukaryota; Metazoa; Chordata; Mammalia; Rodentia; Castoridae. The record is from RNAcentral.
CCUGGAGGAUUUCGCUUUCGCUUUCCUGCUGCUGUCGUUGAGGAAAAUAAAACGGCCGUGGCCAGGGCAGACGCAGCUGCUGUUCCGGGCGAGGGGCGCAGAAGGGACCCCGAGCCUUGCGCCGCGGCGCGCGCCGGGCGAGAUGGCAGCACGCCCUGGGCCUCUCUGCACUGUCCUGAAGGUGGACAGUAGAGAAACAAGAAAAUGGACUCCCUUUUCCUGGAGACCUGACUGAAUGCCAGCCACCGGUGCUAUAAUGAAGAAGACACCGCCAUUGGAGUAAAAGCACUGAGCUUGGAGAGAAUUGAUCACCUUCCAGCUCUGCCACAAAUCCCCUGUGACCAUGGGUGAGUUACUUGACCUCUCCAAGCCUCAGCUACCUUAUCAGUGAAAUGGGGUUAACAGUUUAUCCCUCAGAGGCAUGACAGACUCAAAUAGGGUCACCACACUGUGCAACUCCAGGGGGUGUUGUCCCUAUUUUAGUCUAAGCAGCCUCUAGUGGCCUGAGAUUAAAUGAGAGCAUUUUUGUGAUG